UUUCAUGUUUUUCUUUCUCUCUCUUCGCAACGACUCCAUCCGAAAUAGCAACCAGAUCCAGAAAAACUAAAUGAAAUCAUGCAAAAUCAAACCUAAAAUGGAAUUUCUAAUUGUGCAAGAACAUGAACGAGAUCAAUUUACCAGAGAAAUCAAAAAGAAAAUUAUCAAAAACCUGAAAAAUUAGGAUUUAUAAAUCGAAUUUUAACGAGUUUACUCUCUUCUUCAACAACAAAAGUUUGAAGAUUUAAAAUCAAAGACAAGAAACUUUGAUUGGAGGAGGUGAAGGUGGUGGUUGGAUAGAAGGAAAAGAUGAUGGAUAUGGUGGAAUUCACAAAUUCAGAUGAGCAGGGGGAAAAGGUGGUGGAGGAGAUCAUGGUAGUGGACGUCGGCGGUGAAAGUGGCAGGGAUAUGGUGGUUGGAUGUGCCUUAAUUCAAGGUAUGUUGAUUUGUCGUGAUGGUUGGGUUUUAAGCUCUGGUGGUGCAAGGUUCUUGUUUGGUGAAACAUGGUUAAAUCACGCAAAAAAUUCGGUUUACAUUUUGCUGUGUUCAUCAGUUAGUGAUGGAAGGAUAUAAAUGGAUGUUUAACAUCCAGAAAUAUGGUUCGCUCCAAAUUUUGUUCCAGGUUUGUAUUUUUUUGUUUUGUCCAUCUAUGCUCUGUUAUUGGAAGAAAUACAUUUAUAUGGGUGCUCUUAAUGGGUGCUUUGAUUGUAUCCAGCUACUACUGGAUAUUACUAGAAACACAUUCUACAGAUAUCGCAUUAGAGGUACAAAAUUAGAAACAUUAUAUUAGUUAAUUAAGACGAAACUGAUUCCAUUUUGAACAUGUAUCUCAAAUUAUGUCAAGUUUAUAGUUUUUAGUUCUGUCUUUUUCAUGGCGUUAGUUGUUGUUAUGCUCUUACACUGAAUUUGUGGUGCAAUGGUAGCACGACUGACUUCACGUCAGAUGAUGCGUGUUCGAAUCACGCCAAUCUCACUCGUUCGUGCAUAUCAAAAUGUUUUUUUUGGCUUGUUAUGUUUUUAAUGAAAUAUACAAUUCAUUUUGUUUAUGAUUUUUAUAUUCAUAUUUCUGAUAAAUAUGUCAAUUUGCAAGCUCCAGGUUAUUGAUUUUUACAAGAACCAAACCAUUGUAAAUGGUGUCGACUUUGGUUGUUAACAGCAGGUUUCGGGAUCAACUUCUGUUAUCGACGCGAAAUAUUGGUGUCAACUUUUGUUGUUGACACGAUACCAGAGUAACAAGAUAUUCCUAGAUUCCAAAUUUGGGGUCAACUUCGGUUGUCGACAUCAAUUCGUAGGAUCAACUUCCAUUGUUGACAAGAAUUUUUGGUGUCAACUUUUGUUGUUGACAUCAGGUUUCCGGAUCAACUUUUGUUGUUGACACAAGUUAUUGGCAUCAACUUUGGUUGUUGACACGAUUCCAAAGUGACAACAUAUUCCUGGAUUCCAAAUUUGAGGUUAUUGGGAUCAACUUUUGUUGUUGACACGAUACCAAAGUGACAACAAAUUUGAGGUAAACUUCGAUUGUUGACAUCAAUUUGUAGGAUGAACUUCCAUUGUUAACACGAAUUAUUGUUCUUUGGUUGUUGAUGCCAGUUUCUCGUGUCAACUUUGGUUGUUGACAUUAAUUUUUAUUCUGUGGGUUUAUCAGUAUUUUAAGUCAUCUCUGUAACUAUACAUACCUGAAAUCUUCUAUAAUUCAUGCAUUCAUGCUAGAAAAUAGUAAAAAAAAUAAGUAACAACAUCA
Molecule: long non-coding RNA, 1741 nt
Organism: Papaver somniferum (opium poppy)
Lineage: Eukaryota; Viridiplantae; Streptophyta; Magnoliopsida; Ranunculales; Papaveraceae
Exons: 4
Source: RefSeq, a predicted model, not a curated record